Molecule: ribosomal RNA, 328 nt
Filed under: uncultured bacterium
Lineage: Bacteria
Description: partial 16S ribosomal RNA
Rfam family: Bacterial small subunit ribosomal RNA
Source: RNAcentral
UGGGGAAUAUUGCACAAUGGGCGCAAGCCUGAUGCAGCCAUGCCGCGUGUAUGAAGAAGGCCUUCGGGUUGUAAAGUACUUUCAGCGAGGAGGAAGGCGUUGUGGUUAAUAACCGCAACGAUUGACGUUACUCGCAGAAGAAGCACCGGCUAACUCCGUGCCAGCAGCCGCGGUAAUACGGAGGGUGCAAGCGUUAAUCGGAAUUACUGGGCGUAAAGCGCACGCAGGCGGUCUGUCAAGUCGGAUGUGAAAUCCCCGGGCUCAACCUGGGAACUGCAUCCGAAACUGGCAGGCUAGAGUCGUGUAGAGGGGGGUAGAAUUCCAGGUG